AUGAAAUUGCAACCUAUUGUGCGCAUUGUUGUUUUUUUGCUUAAUUAUAAAGAAAAUCAAGAAGUUGGUGUCUCUGAACAAGCUGUUCGUGGCAGGGCGGUUCAAAACCUUCAUGGGCAAAGGAGGGCUGAGGAGCUGCAGAACACGCCUGAGGACCCCUCCUUGUCUCCACCACGGGAAUGGCGCUGGAGCGAAGCGAUUCUUCUGGUUGGUUGGAGAGUGGAGGAGGAGAAAGUGGGGCGAAGGCAGAGGAAGGAGCGAAGAUGGAGCUGCACGUUCCGGCGGGCUUUGAAGCAGGGAUGGGCUGUGAGGUCAAAGUGGCUGGGAGCAAUGGGAGAUGCUGGGGAAGCCCGGUGGAGAAGGUCCUCAGAUCCCACUGCCUGUCCCUGGAAGAGGAGAUAAAGCAGGAAGAUGAGGAGGUAAGAGAAUUUCCUCCAGGUACUUCUACGUAGGUGAAAACCGGGUACAAUACUCAAAAUCCUCACGGGGACAACUAGCUUUUUCUGGAUGUCCACCAUGGAAGAACCGUCUCGAUCCCCAUAGGAUAGUGAUUCUGAACAGCAGUGUGCUACUUCAGACAAUUUCCCUCUCUUUUGUCUGUUGGAAUCCAUUAGUUUGUUGAACUUCGCCGUGUUUGUCAGUUUGCUGUUUGAUCUGUUGGUCUGUAAGUAAAUGAAACAUUUCAUUCUUUCUUCUGUUAAUGGCCCAGGGUGAAUUAUUGAGAUGGUAAGUGCCAGUUGAUGAGGAAAAAAGGGGUGGACUAAAUCUGGGGAACUAGAAGCUGUUCUGCUCUGUGAAUCCCGGCACUUCUGCUGCUCAGCUGGAGGGAUUUAACCAGAAAUUCAAAGCUCUGCAACAUAUUUCUCUCCUCAUGUUUCUGUCCCUUUUCUUGCCUGGGCUCCUCUUCAUUCUAGGUCCAGGGAACAGUAGCCAAGGUGGACACACAUUUCCAGGAAGGAGAGGAUGCUCCUUCAGACGCCAGGCAGAGGGUUGUGUUCAGAUGGAUUGUCCGUGAGGGUGAUGGAGACACUGCCUCCCUGGGUAAGGCUUAGUAUAGUACAGUACUCAAGACUUAAGUGUCAAAGUCAUAGGACCAUGGUAUUUAUGGGGGAUAGAUUCCAAUUUCCCCACGCACACACCGAAAUACACGGACGUAUCAAAUCUAUUUUCCUUUCUAUGAAUGUUUUUCUUUGUUAUGUUCUGCCACUGCCCUGUCGAGCUCUUGCAAACCCAAGACCAUGGCUUCCUUUAUGGAAUUAAUCCGUCUCCUGUUUGGUCUUCCUCUUUUCCCGCUGCCUUCACCUUCUAUGAAUAUGCCUCCAAUCUAUGAGUUGGUUUUUGGGUUCUCCCUGGAGCUUUGUCAGGGGAGAAACUUCCCGAUCAGGCCCCUGUGAAUUGUUUUUAAAGGGCUGUAUUUCUGUUCAUCGAGAGUUUGCAUACAUCUAAAGCCAGAAAAUUAUGCCAAGGGUGGGCAACUGGUGGUCCACCUCAAGUUGCUGGACUGUGAUUCUUAUUGGCUCUAGCCAGCGGUUGAGGGAGCAGCUGUAGGCCAGCAGCAGCUGGAGGGCUGCAAGUUGCCGACCUGUUCAUUAUGUGCAAAAGUAUCAUGAAAUAAAUUUGUUUUCUUUCAAUGUAUUUAUACA
This is a long non-coding RNA of Pogona vitticeps (central bearded dragon), 1643 nucleotides long. Lineage: Eukaryota; Metazoa; Chordata; Lepidosauria; Squamata; Agamidae. The record is from Ensembl.